CUUCAACGACCCCAGAUACAAAGGCCGUUGACGGUCCCGUCCGUAGGUCGCCAGCAGCGCCUGCGCCUC
Molecule: non-coding RNA, 69 nt
Organism: Streptomyces turgidiscabies Car8
Lineage: Bacteria; Bacillati; Actinomycetota; Actinomycetes; Kitasatosporales; Streptomycetaceae
Source: Rfam